RNAcentral lists this long non-coding RNA (332 nucleotides) under Mytilus galloprovincialis (Mediterranean mussel). The record is from RNAcentral. Lineage: Eukaryota; Metazoa; Mollusca; Bivalvia; Mytilida; Mytilidae.
CAAGAAAGGGUCAUAAACAGGACAGCAAAAGGCAAGAACAAAGAAACAAGAAUGGAACCAAAACAGAACAACAACAAACAUGAAAAGAACAUAACCAGAACAGCAAAAAUAAGAGAAAUUAAACAUGAAAAAAACAUUAACGGAUCAGCAAAAACAAGAAACGAACAUAACCAGAACAGCAAAAACAAAAGAACCUAGCAAGAACAACAACAAACAAGAAAGGAACAUGACAGGAACGGCAACAAACAAGAAAAGAACAUAAUCAGAACAGCAAAAACAAGGUAAACAUAAAAAGAACAGCACAACCAAAAAACAAAACAACAAACAACAAG